UCCUACGGGAGGCAGCAGUGGGGAAUAUUGGACAAUGGGGGCAACCCUGAUCCAGCCAUGCCGCGUGUGUGAAGAAGGCCCUCGGGUUGUAAAGCACUUUCAGCGAGGAAGAACGCCUAGCGGUUAAUACCCGCUAGGAAAGACAUCACUCGCAGAAGAAGCACCGGCUAACUCCGUGCCAGCAGCCGCGGUAAUACGGAGGGUGCAAGCGUUAAUCGGAAUUACUGGGCGUAAAGCGCGCGUAGGUGGCUUGAUAAGCCGGUUGUGAAAGCCCCGGGCUCAACCUGGGAACGGCAUCCGGAACUGUCAAGCUAGAGUGCAGGAGAGGAAGGUAGAAUUCCCGGUGUAGUGGUGAAAUGCGUAGAGAUCGGGAGGAAUACCAGUGGCGAAGGCGGCCUUCUGGACUGACACUGACACUGAGGUGCGAAAGCGUGGGUAGCAAACAGGAUUAGAUACCCUGGUAGUCCACGCCGUAAACGAUGUCGACCAGCCGUUGGGUGCCUAGCGCACUUUGUGGCGAAGUUAACGCGAUAAGUCGACCGCCUGGGGAGUACGGCCGCAAGGUUAAAACUCAAAUGAAUUGACGG
RNAcentral lists this ribosomal RNA (587 nucleotides) under uncultured bacterium. Its description in RNAcentral is "bacterial SSU rRNA". It matches the Rfam family "Bacterial small subunit ribosomal RNA", at positions 337 to 916 of the family's 1533-position model. The record is from RNAcentral.